AUCAAUGGCCAAAGGAAAAUUCUGUUUUCUGGUUCCAUUCAUUACCCCAGAAGUACCCCUAAUGUAUGGCAUUUUCGUUCGUAUUCGUUUUUCUUAUUUUGGUAUUUGGUAUUUUGGUGACUUUUGUUCACUUAUAAAAGGAAAAAGAUUGUAUCCUAGCUUGUUCAGACUGCAAACAACACUUCACACGAGCUAUCUCACGGAGAAAGUUCUACUGUACUAAUUGCCGUCGAGCUACCCAGUUGGUUUCCAGGUGCCAAUUUGAAGUGACGCUCACAGACCAGAGCGGUUCUACAACAGCAAGUAUUGCCGACGAGCAUGCAGAAAAAAUUUUGCUUCUCACUUCGGAAGAGAUUUAUGAUAUCUGCAACGUCAAGAAAGGACUGUUGCCUCUUGAGAACGCGCAAAAGCUACUGACUGGCAAGAUCUUCAAGAUUCAAAUAAAAAAGCUAUUUACAAGAAACAAUGAGGCAGUGCCAGUAAAGUUAGUUAUUUUGUCUUUCAUGGACAAAACUAAUUCAGCUGUCUCACAAAUGCCAGCCACCAUCAAGGAUGAUGCGGAAGGAAGUAAACGAAAAAUUGAACACAUUGCCACAGAGAAGUAAGAGCACCUACAGAUAACAACCAAAGGCAACGGUUCCUACAACAAAUGUAAGGCGGAAAUGAAAAUUUCCCCUCCGAAAAACUGCUGAGAGCACUUUUGCCGGUGAAACUUUGCUACUAUUUUGGGAUGCAAGUGAAGCCACAUCUUAGUGUUGCUUUUGAAUGCGGUUAAGCUCACUUUUGCGACUGCUUUCUGGAUGUUCCUCUACUCGGAAUAUGUCGCGGCGAUACGAGCUUCGUUCACUUUUGCGCCUACUUUUUGGAUGAUCCCCUACUCGGAAAAUGUCGCGGCGACACGAGAUAUUUUUGGCCAAGAACUAAUAGAAAAGGGACAAGAAAGAAGACCAAAGACCGCAUAUGUAUCUACCAAUCCAAGCGCAGGGGGCGGGUGCAGUUGUAAAAGUUCAUUUAUGGUGAAACAGUAAUUGGCACUUUGAUAGCAUUCAGUCCAAAUAAUCAGGCUUUCCUCAGAGCUGGACAUGUUUUACUGCAGUCAGCAUGACAGUUGUUAUAUUAAUCCUUUUGGUGUCUAAUGUCUAUUCACGUAUACUCAUACCAUUUGAGGCAACAAGACCAGAAACAGCAAAAUGCUGGUAAAGCAUUUUUUAGAAUUUGUACUGAGACCAUAGUUUCUUUAUUGUACAUGUCAAUUCUUUUGUCUUAUUGGAGCUAGUUGGAGGGCAGAAUGUAACUGUUAAAUUAGGCAGACAGACUGGCUGUUGUAUUUUAGGCAAUAAUUCCAGUUGAAGAGAUGCUAUUCAGUUUUG
This is a long non-coding RNA of Nicotiana attenuata, 1370 nucleotides long. RefSeq lists it as uncharacterized. The transcript has 7 exons. The record is from RefSeq and is a predicted model, not a curated record. NCBI's taxonomy places the organism in Eukaryota, Viridiplantae, Streptophyta, Magnoliopsida, Solanales, Solanaceae.